RNAcentral lists this ribosomal RNA (305 nucleotides) under uncultured bacterium. RNAcentral describes it as "bacterial SSU rRNA". It matches the Rfam family "Bacterial small subunit ribosomal RNA", at positions 338 to 640 of the family's 1533-position model. The record is from RNAcentral.
CCUACGGGGGGCAGCAGUGGGGAAUAUUGGUCAAUGGCCGAGAGGCUGAACCAGCCAAGUCGCGUGAGGGAUGACGGCCCUACGGGUUGUAAACCUCUUUUGUCGGGGAGCAAAGAGAGUCACGUGUGGCUCAUUGAGAGUACCCGAAGAAAAAGCAUCGGCUAACUCCGUGCCAGCAGCCGCGGUAAUACGUAUGGAGCAAGCGUUAUCCGGAUUUACUGGGUGUAAAGGGAGCGCAGACGGCAGGGCAAGUCUGAUGUGAAAGUCCGGGGCUCAACCCCGGGACUGCAUUGGAAACUGUCCGG